UGAAGCGUUGCAGGUGACAGAGUGCUGUGUGAAGUGGAUAAUUGGUCCCUUGAUAUACGGCGAGAUGAUGGAGCCACUAGAGUCGCCGUCUGUGCACUAAUCAGCCAUGUUUGUUUGUUUGUUUCUUUCUCUCAUUUUUCCUCUUUAACAAGCACUUCUACAAACUCUUCAUUCUGUUCAUCCUAACUGUGUAAUACAGUCUCCUGUUUAUUUCCUGUUUUCUCAUGUUACAGUGGUACAGUACAAUCAGUGAUUUAGUUUCACUCAGACAGGUACAGAGGCCACGCCUCCUUCACUGGUACUGACAGGUACAGAGGCCACACCUCCAUCACUGGGACUGACAGGUACAGAGGCCACGCCUGCUUCACUGGUACUGACAGGUACAGAGGCCACACCUCUUUCACUGGGACUGACAGGUACAGAGGCCACGCCUCCUUCACUGGGACUGACAGGUACAGAGGCCACGCCUGCUUCACUGGUACUGACAGGUACAGAGGCCACACCUCUUUCACUGGGACUGACAGGUACAGAGGCCACACCUACUUCACUGGGACUGACAAGUACAGAGGCCACGCCUCCUUCACUGGUACUGACAGGUACAGAGGCCAUGCCUCCUUUACUGGGACUGGCACAUAGAGGCCACACCUCCUUCACUGACACUGACAAGCUAAUGUUCGCUAGUUUGCUAGGCAGCUUGUAGCUACUGAUAGAGUGUUAACAUUAAUGUUCGUGAAAAUAACCAAUUAGCCAGCUAGUGAUAGUUAUUUCCAUUUCCAUUAACUACAUUUGGCAGACACCCUUAUCCAGAGCAACUUACAAUUAUCUCUUUUUGUUUUAAUACAGCUGAGUAGUUGAGGGUUAAGGGCCUUGCUCAAGGGCCCAGCAGUGGCAGCUUGGCGGUGCUGGGAUUUGAACUCAUGACAUUUUAAUCAGAAGUGCAAUGUCCU
This is a long non-coding RNA of Ictalurus punctatus (channel catfish), 947 nucleotides long. The record is from Ensembl. NCBI's taxonomy places the organism in Eukaryota, Metazoa, Chordata, Actinopteri, Siluriformes, Ictaluridae.